UGAGGAAUAUUGGUCAAUGGGCGAGAGCCUGAACCAGCCAAGUCGCGUGAGGGAGUACUGCCCUAUGGGUUGUAAACCUCUUUUGUCGGGGAGCAAAAGCCGGACGUGUCCGGCUGUGAGAGUACCCGAAGAAAAAGCAUCGGCUAACUCCGUGCCAGCAGCCGCGGUAAUACGGAGGAUGCGAGCGUUAUCCGGAUUUAUUGGGUUUAAAGGGUGCGCAGGCGGAUUUUUUAAGUCAGCGGUCAAAUCGUGGGGCUCAACCCCAUCCAGCCGUUGAAACUGGCUGGCUUGAGUUGGGGAAAG
This 303-nucleotide ribosomal RNA is filed under the name uncultured bacterium. RNAcentral's name for it is "bacterial SSU rRNA". It matches the Rfam family "Bacterial small subunit ribosomal RNA", at positions 355 to 656 of the family's 1533-position model. The record is from RNAcentral.